GCUUUCAAAUCUGCCCACCACAUCUUAGUGAAAAGUGCACUGUCUUUUUUGUGUUCCUUGAAUUCCCUUUGUCUAUCUGGUUGACGUUGACUGUGGUUUCUGGUUUCUGGAUUUUGAUUACUGGUACCUGUAAUUGCUUUCUAGCCCUUUGUUGCAACUCUGUGUAUGAGGAAGACUUGGACCAUAGAAGUUUCUCAGAGGGACUUGGCUAUCUGCAUUGGCAAGUGAUAGAGUGGUGAGUUUUCUCUUUUGUUGGGCAUGAUGAUGGCUGGGAAUGUGGUACGAGCAACUGGGAAGCUGAACAGCAGCACUAGUAGACAGCAUUUUAAUAGUUUUUCUUGCUUAAAUAAUGCCUGAC
This 358-nucleotide long non-coding RNA is filed under the name Medicago truncatula (barrel medic). Its description in RNAcentral is "lncRNA gene2383". Lineage: Eukaryota; Viridiplantae; Streptophyta; Magnoliopsida; Fabales; Fabaceae. The record is from RNAcentral.